GCGAUGGUGGUGUAAUGGUCACAGCAUAGUUGCCUUCCAAGCAGUUGAUCCGGGUUCGAUUCCCGGCCAUCGCA
Molecule: non-coding RNA, 74 nt
Organism: Anoplophora glabripennis (Asian longhorned beetle)
Lineage: Eukaryota; Metazoa; Arthropoda; Insecta; Coleoptera; Cerambycidae
Source: the annotation of a RefSeq genome assembly